CCCAGGCAGUGUAGUUCUCUCCUUGUAAUACAAUGGAUGUCCCUGUACUGUUGGGGUCCGUGACCGUUUCUCCAAAUCGCCCGCUUCUCCUGGAGAGCAGAGGGUCACUAGCAGGAGUUCCAGACAGAUGGGCAACAUCUGCCUGCUCCUGUAUUGAACGCAGCUCCGGGGGAAAGACAGACAAGAGAUGAAGGCUAUGAUGAUGGGAUCAUAGCCUGAGAUAGUUGGGCUGGUUGCUCAUUGGGCUGGCUGGUUUGGGAGGAGUGAGAAGAUUGACAUCACCUGGACUUUCAGGGGUGAAGAAGGAAGAUUCCAAGCUACAGCAUCUUGUUUUGAGUGGGCAGCUGUCCCUGUGUUCCUAGGGUCAAUGAAGAAGCAGUGGUCUGUGGUGGAGGAACAGGAAAUGGAGAAUUCUUUUCAGUUCCAUCUCUGCAUUCUCCAAAGGCACUCAAUGAGCUCCUGCCCAUAUGAGCUUUGUAACCCAAGAAUAUCCCCAUCUGGCCUCCAAGUCUUUCUCC
Molecule: long non-coding RNA, 518 nt
Organism: Trichechus manatus latirostris (Florida manatee)
Lineage: Eukaryota; Metazoa; Chordata; Mammalia; Sirenia; Trichechidae
Exons: 2
Source: RefSeq, a predicted model, not a curated record